RNAcentral lists this transfer RNA (56 nucleotides) under Zootermopsis nevadensis. It matches the Rfam family "tRNA", at positions 10 to 63 of the family's 71-position model. From Rfam's summary of the family: Transfer RNA (tRNA) molecules are approximately 80 nucleotides in length. Their secondary structure includes four short double-helical elements and three loops (D, anti-codon, and T loops). Lineage: Eukaryota; Metazoa; Arthropoda; Insecta; Blattodea; Termopsidae. The record is from Rfam by way of RNAcentral.
GUUUAGCGGUUAGAACGCUGGCCUUGUAAUCCUGGGGUCUCGGGUUCGAUUCCCGG